This 2732-nucleotide unclassified non-coding RNA is filed under the name Limulus polyphemus (Atlantic horseshoe crab). RNAcentral's name for it is "ubiquitin carboxyl-terminal hydrolase 10-like, transcript variant X1". Lineage: Eukaryota; Metazoa; Arthropoda; Merostomata; Xiphosura; Limulidae. The record is from RNAcentral.
CCAUCUUGGCCGAAAUCAUCAUGUACUGAUGUAGAGACUAACGGGUGUUGUGAACAAUGACGCAAAGAGUUUCGAAAUGAAUAACAUUAAACUGGAUUUGGAGUUUCUGGAUUUAUCUGAUGUACCUGAAAAUGAAGUAGAAGAAAUUAAUUUUCUUCUUCAUCCUCCUGGUGGUGUAAAAUACAUUGAGCUUCCAUGGGAUGCACCUGCAAAUUUCUUGCCUUUAGUAGAUAAUCGGACUACAAAUAACAUCAUAAGUGAACAGACUCAAAAUGCAAUAGAAAACUCUAAUCAUUCUCCAAGACUGAACCCAUGUGAGGCUCCUAGAUUUCAUCAUCAAACUGGUUCUCCAGCUAAUCAUCCAGUGGUACCUCCACCCUUUAUAUCUCCAAGUGGGCCUACAAGUGUUCCUCAUCUGGUUGCCUCCCAAGCUUUCCCUUUCAUACCUUGUUCUUAUACAUUGCUUCCUUCUCACUUUCAACAGUUAAACUCGCCAGUGUUUACAAGCAGUUUUGAUCAGCAAGAAGUUUCUCUUGUUCAACGUACCACUCUACCCCCUGCUUUUCCCACUCAUACUACCAGCAGGGAUUGCAACUCUGCUCAGCCAGCUAAACCCAACAAAACUUUAAACCCACCAAUAAAUGAGCACAUUGCUGGUGAAAAGCAGAGUAACCAGCAUAAGGAAUCGGUUGACUAUUAUAGCUCAGUUAACAAGUCAAAAGAACAGCAGUCAAAUCCCCAAGGAUCUGUUUUUGAAGAUUCUCUGCCUACAGGAUGCUCAAGUUUGGUUCCAGUGCCUUUUACUGUAUCUGCUUCCAGUUUUCCUAGCUCCACAGACACCAUUUGUAUGACAGAGACUGCAUCCGGUUAUCCACCUGGUAUGAGCCCUGUUCAUUAUCAGCACCAAAGGCCUUCCCCACCAAUAUUAUAUCCAGUUCCAUUUAUACCACCUGCAUAUCCUAGAUUUAUCCAUACUCAGUCAUCUCAAGUUGUUAGUGGUUAUUUCAACCGAGGAAAAGGAGAGACCAACAGUAAUGAUAGUGGUGCAAGAAUCACUUCAGUCGUCCCAUGCAUUGAUGGUGGAAUUCAAGAGUUACACGUUACUCCCACCUGUAGUUCCAGUAAUACAAGAAGUGUGGAGAUUGAUUUGUUUAAUCAGCAGGACCAACUAAGCAAGGAUUCUAAUAUGUUUAAAUCCCACAUUAAUACCCUUCAUAUUGUGCAACCAGAAAACCAGAACAGUCAAAACAUACCUACAAUAAAAACGUUUACAAGGAAAGAAAGCAAUUGUAAUAAUUGUGUAAAAACUGAUCAAGGGCUAUUAUCCUGUAAUGGACAUGAGUUUGAUAAAUUGUUACCAGCUGAUGAAACUGUUAAUUCAAGUGCUAUAAAAGAUAGUGAUAGAUGCACAGUUGUGUUAGAACAAACUCUGGCAAAUAAUGUGUCUUUAGCUGAUUCAGAAAACUCACCAUUUCUUACAGGGAAAAAACCUGAUGUUAGUUUUACAACAUCAGACUUUUUAGUUACAGAUACACACCCUAAAACUUCAGUUGGCAUAGAAAAUGAACUCGGAGAAUUAUAUGAUGCUAUAUCUGCUGCCCCAUCAGGUGUAACUAAAGUGACAUCUGAUAAUGUGUGGCAAAGACGGUCAGGUGCAGAUUUAUUUAAGAACCAGAGUGUUUGUCCUGCUACUGUACUGGAAAUUGAAAAAGAAAGACUUCCUUCUGUUUCUCCCAAGACAACACCAAUAAAACAUGAAAAAAAAGAUCCAGAAACUAUGGAGAAUUCUAAAAUUGUGAACGCUGAAGAUGAUGUUUUAGCCUACAAGUUAGCUAAGAUUUUUGAAAGUACACAUCUAAACCAUAGCAUUGCAUUUCUACAGCCUCGUGGACUUACUAAUCGAAGUAAUUGGUGCUAUGUUAAUGCUACAUUGCAAGCCUUAUUGGUAUGUCCUCCUUUGUAUAAUCUUCUAAAACAGUUAACUAGCGUAUCAGGACAGAACCGUGAGAAGUCAUCAACCCCAAUCUUGGAUAGCCUAAUGGAGUUCGUACAAGAAUUUCCAAUCAUCCCUCAAGGUAACAGGAAUAAAAGAAAAGAAGAUCUUGUUAUUGGACUUUCUUUUGAGCCAGUAAACAUAUAUAAAAUGUUGAAUGUGAUAAGAUCAGAAUGUGUGAAGGGUCAUCAGGAAGAUGCUGAGGAGUUUUUAAGUUGUAUUUUAAAUGGUUUGCAUGAGGAAAUGCUAGCAGUUCUACAAAUUAUAAGAAAAGAUGAAGUGAAAAACACUGGUAAUGAAGAAAUGCCAACUAAUGGCCAUUUGGAAGAAGAUAAAGAUGAAGGAUGGCAGGUGAUGGGACCAAAAAAAAAAAGUAUUUUGACCAGAUCUGCAAAAUUUUCUCGGUCCCCAAUUUCUGACAUUUUUGGUGGCCAGAUACGAUCAGUUCUGACAACAGGAAAUGAAUCUUCUGCUUUUCUACAACCAUUUUUUACGCUACAACUUGAUAUUCAGAAAGGGUUGUUUCAGUGCUAUCUGCUUUAAAUCAUCUUACAAGCAAGGAGCUUGUUCAAGGUUACACAUCUGCUAAAACUAAGCAAGAGGUUGAAGCAUCACGGAGGAUCACCAUAGAAGAAUUACCCUUGGUUUUAGUUCUUCAUUUUAAAAGGUUUGUGUACGAUAAGAAUGGAGGGUCCAAGAAAGUAGUCAAGUGUACAGAAUACUCGGUUACCUUAGAACU